GAUGAAGAACGUAGCGAAAUGCGAUAAGUAAUGUGAAUUGCAGAAUUCAGUGAAUCAUCGAGUCUUUGAACGCACAUUGCGCCCCCUGGUAUUCCGGGGGGCAUGCCUGUCCGAGCGUCAUUGCUGCCCUCAAGCACGGCUUGUGUGUUGGGCCCCCGCCCCCCGGCUUCGGGGGGCGGGCCCGAAAGGCAGCGGCGGCACCGCGUCCGGUCCUCGAGCGUAUGGGGCUUCGUCACCCGCUCUGUAGGCCCGGCCGGCACCCGCCGGCGACCCCAAUCAAUCUUUCCAGGUUGACCUCGGAUCAGGUAGGGAUACCCGCUGAACUUAAGCAUAUCAAUAAGCGGAGGA
RNAcentral lists this unclassified non-coding RNA (348 nucleotides) under soil metagenome. RNAcentral describes it as "partial contains 5.8S ribosomal RNA, internal transcribed spacer 2, and large subunit ribosomal RNA". The stretch from base 1 to 120 matches the Rfam family "5.8S ribosomal RNA", at positions 35 to 154 of the family's 154-position model. The record is from RNAcentral.